AACGAACGCUGGCGGCAGGCUUAACACAUGCAAGUCGAACGAGAUCUUCGGAUCUAGUGGCAGACGGGUGAGGAACACGUGGGAACAUCCCUUUCAGUUCGGAAUAACAUUGGGAAACUAACGCUAAUACCGGAUACGUCCUUAGGGAGAAAGAUUUAUCGCUGAAAGAUUGGCCCGCGUCUGAUUAGCUAGUUGGUGAGGUAACGGCUCACCAAGGCUACGAUCAGUAGCUGAUCUGAGAGGAUGAUCAGCCACAUUGGUACUGAGACACGGCCCAAAAUCCUACGGGAGGCAGCAGGGGGGAAUAUUGGACAAUGGGCGCAAGCCUGAUCCAGCCAUGGCGCGUGAGUGAUGACGGCCUUCGGGUUGUAAAGCUCUUUUGUCCGGGAAGAUAAUGACUGUACCAGAAGAAUAAGCCCCGGCAAACUUCGUGCCAGCAGCCGCAGUAA
RNAcentral lists this ribosomal RNA (449 nucleotides) under uncultured bacterium. Its description in RNAcentral is "partial 16S ribosomal RNA". It matches the Rfam family "Bacterial small subunit ribosomal RNA", at positions 29 to 523 of the family's 1533-position model. The record is from RNAcentral.